This 1506-nucleotide long non-coding RNA is filed under the name Nicotiana benthamiana. Its description in RNAcentral is "long non-coding RNA (NBEN_LNC007076)". Lineage: Eukaryota; Viridiplantae; Streptophyta; Magnoliopsida; Solanales; Solanaceae. The record is from RNAcentral.
UAAAAACAAAAUUAGUUUUGUCGAUGGCACAUGCUCCCGACCAGCCAUUAAUGUGGCUCAACAAAGGUUAUGGGAUAGGUGCAAUAACAUGGUGAUUUCUUGGUUAACUGCUUCCCUCUCCCCUCAAAUUGCUGAAAGUGUCGGUAUUCUGAUACUGCACGGAGUAUAUGGUCCCAACUCCAGGCCAGAUAUGGCACUGCAAACAGGACCAAAAUCUUUGAAUUGACAAGAGAGCUUUCUCACACCUCCCAAGGAUCCUUAGAUGUAGCUUCAUAUUUUAAUAAGCUCAAAGGUCUGUGGGAUGAACUAGAAUCAAUGUGUGUUAAUCAUGGUCAAAGAUGUGUUUGUGCUGCCAAAGAUGGUAUAAUACAGGAAAGUGACGAAAAUAAGGUUUUUCAGCUUUUACUAGGUCUUAAUGAAGCAUACAUGGGGGUAAGGAGUAAUCUUUUGAUGAUGCAGCCUCCUCCAUCUCUUAACAACGUCUAUAAUAUGGUCCUCAAUGAUGAGAAACAGAGACAAGUCCAGUCUCCUUCUCACUUUAAUCCAGACUCUGUCUCUUUCAAUGUCCAUACUAAUAGGCAGCCUGUUGGAUUUAACAAGACCACAGUGCCUAGUCCUUCUUUACCUUUCAGACAAAGAGUCAAUUUUGAUCAAGCCGGAGGACCUUAUAGAUACUGCAAAAAAUCUGGACACUUAAUUGAUAAGUGUUUCAAGAUCCAUGGGUAUCCACAAAGGACCUUUAUUCUGUAGAUACUGUAAAAAAUCUGGACACUUAAUUGAUAAGUGUUUCAAGAUCCAUUGGUAUCCACAAAGUACAAAUUUUAACAAGGGGAGGAGACCUGCUGCUGCUCAUCUUUAGUGCUGGUCUGGAUUUCCCUCAUUCUGAUGGACAUGUGUCUGUUCCCCAAGGGAAUCCUCCUGAAAGCCAUCAAUCUGCUCCAAAGAUAGAUGGCCAGAGUUCUGUGAUACCAGGGUUGAGCAGACAACAGUAUGACCAGUUGAUGAAUUUAUUACAACAGACCCAGUUAAGGGACUCCACUGCUCAGACUCCUCCUCCCAUGUAUGCUGCUAACUUUGCUGGUACUAUGCUAACUGAGAGCCCUAUUUCUGAUUCCAAGCUUUACAUGCUUACCCAUAUUAAUUUUGCCACCUGGAUAAUAGACUCAGGGGCAUCUAAUCAUAUGACAUAUGAUAAAAGUUUACUCUUCAACAUAACACCUUUAACUACAUCCUACAUUGUAACUCUCCCUAAUGGAAGUACUAUGUUAACUGAGAACCCUAUUUCUGAUUCCAAACUCUGCCUACUUACUACUGUUAAUUCUGUCACCUGGAUUAUAGAUUCAGGUGCCUCUAAUCACAUGACACAUGAUAAACAGUUACUUUUUAACAUCACACCUUUAACUCUGCCAUAUCUUGUCACUCUUCCUAAUCGCUAUAAAGUGAAAGUAACAUGCACAGGCUCUUUUGCAUUGAAUCCUUCCAUCACUCUUCACAAUGUACUGCUAG